This 375-nucleotide ribosomal RNA is filed under the name uncultured organism. Its description in RNAcentral is "partial 16S ribosomal RNA". It matches the Rfam family "Bacterial small subunit ribosomal RNA", at positions 527 to 896 of the family's 1533-position model. The record is from RNAcentral.
GUAGGUGGCAAGCGUUGUCCGGAAUUAUUGGGCGUAAAGCGCGCGCAGGCGGUUCUUUAAGUCUGAUGUGAAAGCCCACGGCUCAACCGUGGAGGGUCAUUGGAAACUGGAGAACUUGAGUACAGAAGAGGAAAGCGGAAUUCCACGUGUAGCGGUGAAAUGCGUAGAGAUGUGGAGGAACACCAGUGGCGAAGGCGGCUUUUCUGGUCUGUAACUGACGCUGAGGCGCGAAAGCGUGGGGAGCAAACAGGGAUUAGAUACCCUGGUAGUCCACGCCGUAAACGAUGAGUGCUAAGUGUUAGGGGGUUUCCGCCCCCUUAGUGCUGCAGCUAACGCAUUAAGCACUCCGCCCUGGGGAGUACGGCCGCAAGGCUA